This 429-nucleotide ribosomal RNA is filed under the name uncultured bacterium. RNAcentral's name for it is "bacterial SSU rRNA". It matches the Rfam family "Bacterial small subunit ribosomal RNA", at positions 355 to 776 of the family's 1533-position model. The record is from RNAcentral.
UUAGGAAUAUUCGUCAAUGGGGGCAACCCUGAACGAGCAAUGCCGCGUGAGUGAUGACGGUCCUUUGGAUUGUAAAACUCUGUUGUUUAGGAAAAAUUAUAUAAAGAGGAAAUGCUUUAUAUUUGAUGGUACUAUUCAAGAAAGCCACGGCUAACUACGUGCCAGCAGCCGCGGUAAUACGUAGGUGGCGAGCGUUAUCCGGAUUUAUUGGGCGUAAAGCGUCCGCAGACGGUUUGUUAAGUCUAAAAUCAAAGCCCGAAGCUUAACUUCGGUUCGUUUUAGAAACUGGCAGACUUGAGUGUAGUAGAGGCAAGUGGAAUUUCUAGUGUAGCGGUAGAAUGCGUAGAUAUUAGAAGGAACACCAGUGGCGAAGGCGACUUGCUGGGCUAUAACUGACGUUCAUGGACGAAAGCGUGGGGAGCAAAUAGG